Molecule: ribosomal RNA, 712 nt
Filed under: bacterium 12-L049642-122-014-D02
Lineage: Bacteria
Description: bacterial SSU rRNA
Rfam family: Bacterial small subunit ribosomal RNA
Source: RNAcentral
AGUCGAACGGCAGCACAGUAAGAGCUUGCUCUUAUGGGUGGCGAGUGGCGGACGGGUGAGGAAUACAUCGGAAUCUACUUUUUCGUGGGGGAUAACGUAGGGAAACUUACGCUAAUACCGCAUACGACCUACGGGUGAAAGCAGGGGAUCUUCGGACCUUGCGCGAUUGAAUGAGCCGAUGUCGGAUUAGCUAGUUGGCGGGGUAAAGGCCCACCAAGGCGACGAUCCGUAGCUGGUCUGAGAGGAUGAUCAGCCACACUGGAACUGAGACACGGUCCAGACUCCUACGGGAGGCAGCAGUGGGGAAUAUUGGACAAUGGGCGCAAGCCUGAUCCAGCCAUACCGCGUGGGUGAAGAAGGCCUUCGGGUUGUAAAGCCCUUUUGUUGGGAAAGAAAUCCAGCCGGCUAAUACCUGGUUGGGAUGACGGUACCCAAAGAAUAAGCACCGGCUAACUUCGUGCCAGCAGCCGCGGUAAUACGAAGGGUGCAAGCGUUACUCGGAAUUACUGGGCGUAAAGCGUGCGUAGGUGGUUGUUUAAGUCUGUUGUGAAAGCCCUGGGCUCAACCUGGGAACUGCAGUGGAGACUGGACAACUAGAGUGUGGUAGAGGGUAGCGGAAUUCCCGGUGUAGCAGUGAAAUGCGUAGAGAUCGGGAGGAACAUCCAUGGCGAAGGCAGCUACCUGGACCACACUGACACUGAGGCACGAAAGC